GCAAGUGUGGUCCAAUGGAAGGGUGUCGGUCUCCAAAACCGAAGAUAGGGGUUCGAUUCCCCUCACUUGUGCCA
RNAcentral lists this transfer RNA (74 nucleotides) under Candidatus Curtissbacteria bacterium. RNAcentral's name for it is "tRNA-Trp". It matches the Rfam family "tRNA". Rfam says of the family: Transfer RNA (tRNA) molecules are approximately 80 nucleotides in length. Their secondary structure includes four short double-helical elements and three loops (D, anti-codon, and T loops). The record is from RNAcentral. Lineage: Bacteria; Candidatus Curtissiibacteriota.